Molecule: ribosomal RNA, 459 nt
Filed under: uncultured bacterium
Lineage: Bacteria
Description: partial 16S ribosomal RNA
Rfam family: Bacterial small subunit ribosomal RNA
Source: RNAcentral
CCUACGGGUGGCAGCAGUGAGGAAUAUUGGUCAAUGGGCGGGAGCCUGAACCAGCCAAGCCGCGUGAAGGAUGAAGGCGCCAAGGGUCGUAAACUUCUUUUGUCGGGGGACAAAGGGCGCCACGUGUGGCGUUGUGCAUGUACCCGAUGAAUAAGCAUCGGCUAACUCCGUGCCAGCAGCCGCGGUAAUACGGAGGAUGCGAGCGUUAUCCGGAUUUAUUGGGUUUAAAGGGUGCGUAGGCGGCCCGGAAAGUCAGCGGUAAAAGUCCGUGGCGCAACCCUGGCAAGCCGUUGCAACUGGGGGACUAGAGAGGGCGAGAAGUAGGCGGAAUGCGUGGUGUAGCGGUGAAAUGCAUAGAUAUCGCGCAGAACCCCGAUUGCGAAGGCAGCGUACCGGCGCCUGACUGACGCUGAGGCACGAAAGCGUGGGGAUCGAACAGGAUUAGAUACCCGAGUAGUC